This 88-nucleotide transfer RNA is filed under the name Gymnopus androsaceus JB14. It matches the Rfam family "tRNA". Rfam says of the family: Transfer RNA (tRNA) molecules are approximately 80 nucleotides in length. Their secondary structure includes four short double-helical elements and three loops (D, anti-codon, and T loops). Further hydrogen bonds mediate the characteristic L-shaped molecular structure. tRNAs have two regions of fundamental functional importance: the anti-codon, which is responsible for specific mRNA codon recognition, and the 3' end, to which the tRNAs corresponding amino acid is attached (by aminoacyl-tRNA synthetases). tRNAs cope with the degeneracy of the genetic code in two manners: having more than one tRNA (with a specific anti-codon) for a particular amino acid; and 'wobble' base-pairing, i.e. permitting non-standard base-pairing at the 3rd anti-codon position. The record is from Rfam by way of RNAcentral. Lineage: Eukaryota; Fungi; Basidiomycota; Agaricomycetes; Agaricales; Omphalotaceae.
CCGACCUUAGCUCAGUUGGAAGAGCACAAGACUGUAAUUGGUUUCCUCAUGGAUCUUGGGGUCGCCUGUUCGAACCAGGCAGGUCGGA